This 275-nucleotide ribosomal RNA is filed under the name uncultured bacterium. RNAcentral's name for it is "partial 16S ribosomal RNA". It matches the Rfam family "Bacterial small subunit ribosomal RNA", at positions 399 to 691 of the family's 1533-position model. The record is from RNAcentral.
GCGUGAGUGAUGAAGGCCUUAGGGUUGUAAAGCUCUUUCACCCGUGACGAUGAUGACGGUAACGGGAGAAGAAGCCCCGGCUAACUUCGUGCCAGCAGCCGCGGUAAUACGAAGGGGGCAAGCGUUGUUCGGAAUGACUGGGCGUAAAGGGCGCGUAGGCGGUAAGCCAAGUUGGGGGUGAAAUCCCGGGGCUCAACCUCGGAAUUGCCUUCAAAACUGGCUUGCUAGAGUAUGGAAGAGGGUCGUGGAAUUCCCAGUGUAGAGGUGAAAUUCGU